AUACCGCGCGGCCUUCUCCUCGUACUCCCUGUACCUGGCGUAGUGGUCGGACACGAUGAACCCUUCGAUCCGGAGCCGCUUCGUGACGAUGGCCGUCAGGUUGUGGACGGGGUCGGGGUGCUCCAGGUUGUACUGCGAGAUCAUCCCGCAGGCCGCGACGCGGCCGCGCACCCGCAUGUUGAGCAGCACGGCGUCCAGCAUCGCGCCGCCCACGUUUUCGAAGUAGAUGUCGAUCCCUUCCGGGAAGCACCGCUUCAGGGCCGCGCUCAGGUCACUCUCCUUCUUGUAGUUGAAGGCGUCGUCGAAGCCGAACUUCUCCCUGAGCAGCCUCACCUUGUCGUCGGAGCCGGCGCUCCCGACGACGUAGCAGCCCAUGAGCUUGGCGAACUGUCCCACCAGCUGCCCCACGGCGCCCGACGCGGCGGAGACGUACACCCUCUCGCCUUCCCUUGGCGCGCAUAUCUCGUGGAACCCGACGUACGCCGUGAAGCCCGCCAUGCCUGAAACAGAUUAUGAAAUUAAUUAAUCGUCGGCCAUGGAUGCUGAUCUGCUAAUCAAUCGCGGCAUGCAUGGUUCAAUUCGUACCGAGGAGGCCGGUGUAGUAGGAGAGCGGCAGGUCGGGAUGGCGGAUGGCGAAGAGGGCCCUGCUGGGAUCCUUGAUGAGGCUGUACUCCUCCCAUCCCGUCAUUCCCCACACGAGGUCGCCGGCUUUGAACCCCGGGUGGCUCGAGUCCACCACCUUCCCGACGCCAUAGCCGGUGAUAGCCUGUCCACACCACAGUACACAUCACGAGCAUCAUCAGAACAAGAAAUUAACAAACUUUUCCCCAUGAAAAAAGUACGCGUUUAAUUACAGAGUUAAAUCAAACUGAAGAUCAAAAUUCAGAGAGCAGCAUACCUCGCCGACGACGAAAGCGUCGACGUAAGAGCCGUCAUGGCUGGACAUGCGGCCGCGCAUGUAGGGGUCGCAGGACAGGUACAGGUUCUUCACGAGGACGGCGCCGUCCGUGCCCUCGGGCACCCUGGACGGCGCGGCGCCCGUCGCGGCGACGAGCUCCAUGUCGGACUCCUUGGGGAACCCCGUCACGUGGUUCCUCAGCACGAUCUUCUUGUUCGUCGCUGCCAUCUUUGGUCUCUCCAAAUUUCAGAUUUCCCUGCUCUCGAACUCUCCGUCUGUGGCCGGUGGUGCGGGUCGUUUGCUCUUCGAGAUUGCUCUGCGAUGUGAGGAUUGGGUUGGGACUUGGGGUGGCACUGCCCCCGCGUUAUAUAGGGGACCACGAAAAGGGAUUCGUUUUGUGAACACGUCCACAUCGUACGUGUGUACCUGGUUCGCCUAAACGCGUAUGAGACGUUGCUGGGCCCGCCCGUCCAGUGGACGAUCGGGAGUCGAGUCUCGACUUUGGUUACUCCAGCUUUCCAUGUGUGUGACGACACCGUACGUGUAGCACGUUGACGGUUGACGGCUUGACGUUAUGCGCCUCUAGAACGUGGCUUAAUUUACGGGGGCAUGUUGGCCUGUUGGGUCUAUUUUCGCUGCAGCAAAUUGUUGGAUUGGGAUUGGGAUAUUAUCUGUACUUCCUCGGUCUCAAGUAUAAGAUCCUGUUUCGAUCAUUUAGGCUGCGUUCUGUGGGACAUGUUCCUAACUCCUAUUUCUUGUUUUAUACGCGCACGUUUUUUAAACUGUUAAACGGUGUGUUUUUUGUAAAAAAUUUCUAUACGAAAGUUGCUUGAAAAAUCAUAUUAAUCCAUUUUUGAAAAAAAAAAGCUAAAACUUAAUUAAUCACGCGCUAAACGCUGCUUUGUUUUGCGUGCUGGGAGGGAGGGUUCCCAAACACAGCCUUAGUCCUAAGACUAAAAUUAGUCCCUGAGUAAAAACUUUAGUCCAUACUGUUUGGAUCCAGGGACUAAAAGGUACUCAAAGGCACGUGUAUCGAGGGAGAGAGAGGUUGUCACUUUAGUUCCGGUAAGUACCUCCAAGAGAGACUAAUGGAUUUUAGUCCCAAUAUGCACUUUUAGUCCUUUUUAGUCACUCCUAUUUGGAUUCUUAGGAACUAAGAGGGACGGAAAUGGAGAGACUAAUGGAUUAGUCCCAUGAACCAAACAGAGUCUAAGUAUUUUUAAACUUCAACAUAGUUUUUUUUUAAGAUGAUACCUUGACUAACAAUAUCUAUAAAUAUAAGAUGUUCUAAGUAAAAAGAAUUGUAUUGUAUUAUAAUAGUUUGUUUAAUGAUAAAUCGAGUAACAUCAAUUUUAUAUCAUUGUUUUUUUUAUUUUUUGUUAUUAAAAGUCAAAGUUUAAAAAUGUUUAAAACUAGGAAGAAGUACGAAUUAUCCCCCUGAACAAUUGCGACAGUAUGAAUUACCCCCCCCCCCCCCAAAACCACAAAACCAGACAUAUUAUACCCUCAACUAUUCAUACCGAACAUAUAACCCCCUCAUUGUUUUUGACCGGUUUUGACUUCAACUUGUACACGUGGCGCCAACGUGGCAAUCCAGUCAGAAAAAAAGUAACCGUUGGGGCCCACCUGUCAUAACCCUUCAUCAACCCAAUCCCCUCUUCUCUCUCUCUCUGUCUCGCACACGCGCUCGGACGGCUGGUAGCGGAGGAGGCGCACACUCUCGGACGACCGGCGGCGGAGGCGGAGCUCGUCCGGAAGUCCGGCUGCGGAGGCGGAGAUCGCCCGCGUGGCCGGCGGCGGAGGCGGAGCUUGCCUCAGUUGCCUGGGAGUCCGGCGGCGGAGGCAGAGAUUGCCCAAGCGGCACUUGUACGAGGAGCACUUGUACGACAAGGACACCGGCAACUGCACUGCCGGUGUCGACUUCCACAAGUGCGGCCACUUCGUCUUCAUAGUUAGGCUCAACUUCACCAAGAUCGGCUGCGCCCCGCGCCGAGUGCUUCAACGGCAGCGUCUUCAUCACAUGCAACUACUACAAAGACGAGGAGCAGCCGGCUGCCCAUCUUACCUACUCCUAGUUGCAUGAUAUGCUCUUCUUCUUCUCUCUCAUCAACACCUUACUUGCUGCCUGCCUGCCUGCCUCAUGUACAUACAGCUGCCCGAACCACCGCCGCCGCCGCCGCCGCCUUCUUCGCCCGGACCGCCGUCGCCGCCUUCUCAGCCCAACCACCGUCGCUGCACUGGAAAGGAUAGGGAAUCGGAAGAGAAGGAGAGGGGAAAGGGAUGAGCGGCGGCCGCAGCCCUCCUGUGCAGCUCCAUCUCGUGCGUCGCCGUCGUGGACGCGGCCACCGACACCGCCCUCCGCUCCAGCCAGGACGCCCUCCGCCUCGAGUGCGACUCCCUCCGCCGCGACGCCGCGCUCCUGCCACACCCGCCCCCGCCGCGCCCAUCGCCCGCUCUCCGCCAUGCCUGCCGCCCGCCUCGCCCAUCGCCGGCCACCUAGUUGCCGCUCCCGGCGACAUCUGAGAGAGAGAUUGAGAGGAAGGGAAAGGGGAAAGAGAGAGGUGGGUCCCACCAUGUUUUAUUUGUUUUUAGCUGACAAGCGGGUCCCAUAUCUUUUUUAUUUGUUUUGCUGACUGGAGUGCCAUGUAUGCAUCCACGUAGGAUCAAAACUGCCCUGGAUCGACAUAGGGGGGUAAUUCAUCCGGUUUGUAAAGUUUAGGGUUAAAAAUAACUGGUAUUAGAGUUGAUGGGGUAACUCGAACGACCGCGAUUGUUUAGGGGGGUAAUUCGUACUUUUUCCUUAAAACUAUGAAAGAAAAUGUUUAUAUGUGGGGACGGAUGAAGUAGCUUUUUUUUUAAGAGAAAGGCUGACGCCCAGCUUUCAUUAAAAAGCAUGAGAGUUCAUACAACAAAAGACAUGAAGUAGCUUUUUUCCAUCGUGAAUCUCAUGGAGAUGUAUACGUCACUGCAGGCGUCCCGUUGUGCGCGCGCCAGCCAGGCCAACUUUGCAUUCUCCCACACGUGCGCGGUUGCGCACGGUGUCCUCGCUGGCGGAUGCAACGGGACACGGCUGACGACCGAGUACCGAUUGUGACUCGAGUAAAAGAUCGGUGGAGGAAAACGCCACAGCUUUCGGAAAAGUUGGAAGCGAUGCAUACAGGCAUACAGCACACCGGGGCUGUUUGAUUCGUAUUUGUGUCAGCCUAGCCGCACACGGCUCACCGCUCACACAUCCCGAUCGCCACGUACGAAGCCGUGUGUGCUGUGCUGUGUGGCUCGCCGUCGCCGCUGCCCCGUUGCUUUGCUCGUCCAGACCUUUGGACGCGUCAACAGAUAGCGUUGUGUUGCAUUGCUGCCCAAGUUCUCGUACACGCCACGACACGAGAAUUAAUCGCAGGAAUCAUGAUGCUGCACAGUUAUUUUCUACCGCGACCAAUUUUUUUAGAGGAUCUACCGCGAGAGCACAGCUGCGGCGUUGCAAUGUGUGGAGAUGUCACUCACGGAAGAAGCCCAAAGUUUGCUGGGCUGUACGGAAAAUAAGAGCUACUCCAGCUUUAAAGCGGCCGGCGCAGUCAGCCGGUACGAGAUCGAAAAUUGACACGAACCGCGAGUCCGCAACCCAUCGUGAUAUUGUGGAAGUGGAGGCCUUGGAAACACCAACGGGCCGCUGCAAUUUCGGCUCGGCUGGCAGUGGCCUCGUCAGCGGCUAUAUUGCCUUGACUAGAACAUAUAUGUUUGAAAUUUGAGUAGAACUCGGUUUAAAAACAUAAAAAAACUGAGAUUCGUGCAGUCAUGUAAUUUUGGAAUGCUGGAUAUGCUUUUAAGAUUCGUGCAGAACCCCCUUAACCCUAGCUCCUCUCCUCCUCUCGUUCCCCACGCGCCCUCUUAUCCCUCGCCACGCCGCCGCCCGCCUGGUCGGCUGGCCGAAAGAUGUCAACGGCACCAGCGAGGCCCCUGUCCGUCCCCUUCCCCCUCUCUCUACUCUUCUUUCCUUAAGCCGAUGGCAGCGAGUUGUCCCUGCGCCACCAUCUUCCCCGUCUCCACCUCCUCCUAACGGCCCUUCCGCUCAGCCCCCGUCGCCUACACCGACCUACCGCCAACUUUUGACCCUACGGCUUAGGCGGCAGCUUCGCCACUGCCUCGCUGCUCGCUCGAUCCGUCGCCACCGCUGGGCUGCCGCCUACCACAACCAUCCCUUUAAAGUUGAUGAACUCCCACUUCCACCCCCACCUUCAAUCCGGGACCCUAACCCGUAAGGUCCUUUGUCAAAGUAUAGGGUGUCGUUGGUGUCAGAGUUGGAGAAAAAGGCCUAGAGCACGAAUCGUGAAGCUCAUCCAAUAGUCUAAAACCUAUAAGAUUUAAAGAUGAAUUUUUCGUAAGGUUAGCAAUUCCUUUUUUUUUUGGAAGAUCCAGCUGGGUGCCGGCAUUAUAUUCAUAGGAGGAGAAAACAAAAGGUUCUAUAUACAAGGUUAGCGGUUUGCGCUUUAAAAGGAAAAGAAACUAAGGCAAUAAUCUCUUGAUAUGCUUUGCACCGCCCAUACCAAGUUCUGGCCUCUCGUAUGAUCCCUUCGACAGUCUGCCAAGUGCCAAGUGGCAGUUCUUCUCGUCGGAAGAUAGUCACGCAAUUGUAAGAGAUCAUACUGAUUUGAAUCCCAUUUUGUUGCAACUUGUUUGCAGCCUAUUUGUAAUCACAUCUGUUGAUUCAUCCACCGUGAUCAUAAUUUAUAUGAAGAAAACAUCUUUCAUCUACAGGUCAUGCAUAAAGCAUUCCAUCAUCCACAGUAUCGAUUUUGCCGAAGUUAACGUGUAUAAUACAAAAGAAUUGCGUGAUCACCAAAAACUGUAUGACCAAACGAACCGAAACACCUCGUUGAUCUAAUCAAACACCUUCGGAACCACUAGGCACGGCGAUGUACUUGGCCGGCCGGUUGGAUUGAAUUCUCUCUCACGGCUUCCACUUGGACGGCGGCGGCGGCGUGGCCGGGAACAUGGGCGGCACGGCGGAGAACAUGGUGUUCUUGUCGACGGCGGUGACGCCCGCGCCGCGGCCGCUGUUGGUGAGGGCGACGAGGGCGGCCACGAGGCCGGCGUUGCCCACCAACGUCGGCUCGUUCUGCGCGUAGGUGAGGCGCGCGUCCUUGAACUGGUCGUUCUUGUCCGGCCCGCCGACCAUGGCGCCGACGAGCACGUUCGGGUCGGCCCCCUUGGUGUCCCUCCACUUGUACCCGCCGGUGCACGAGUACUUGAUGCCGUUGUGCGGCGUCGACGCCCCCCUGUGGUGCAGCCGCCGCGGGUACUUCUUGCCGUACCCCACCACGUAGCUCAUCUUCUUCGGGUUAUCCCCAAGAAUGUAGUUCACCUGCACAUGUACAUCGCCGUCGUCAGCAAAACAACUUCCAAUUGAUGCAUGCAUUGUGAAAAUCUGUGAUCGAUCGUCGAUUACACGUACCUGAGACCUGGCGAAGGAGCGGAGAUCGUCGACGGUCAUGAAGUAGGGGCCGCAGUACCAGCCGGGGACGUUGACGGACUCCAUGUAGUCGGCGUAGAGCGCGGCGAGGAAGGAGUUGGCGACGGUGUACUGCAGCGGCUGGCCCUUCCCGUGGUUGAACUGCGCGAGCCCACCCUUGGUGAAGUUGAAGGCGCCGAAGCGCGGGAAGUAGGUGCACAUGUUCAUGCUGGUGGUGUUGUGGUACCCGAUGAGCGACUCCUCGUAGGGGUAACCCGGGUUGAGGAACAUGCGGAGCCGCGACAGCAGCAGCUCGGCGCCCGGCAGCUUGUUGUCCCAGCUGAAGACGGAGAAGUCGAGGAUGCUGUAGAAGGCCUUGGCGUUCUUGGGCAGCCGCGGGUCGGUGGCGAAGGUGAUGUAGGUGUUGUUCCCCGUGGCGUAGUACAUCCACGCCGCGCUCCACAUGUACUCGUCCCAGUAGCUGGUGGAGUUGUAGUAGUACUCGAUGUACUGGUUGCCGCGGGAGUACGGGGUGCGGCGGCCGCUGCUGCGCGCGAACUUGUACACGGCGGCCGCGCCGUUCACGAGCUUCUUGGAGUAGGCGGCGUUGUCGCGGAACACGAUGGAGGCCGCCGCGAGCGCCGCCGCCAUCUCGCCGCCGAGGUCCGGCGCCGAGCCGGCCGUCUGGACGGGGCGUGGGUACGCCAUGUCCUCCGGCCGGUUCCAGCAGUAGUGGUCGUCCGGCUGGGUGCCGUUGAUCUUCGCAAUGCCCACCUGCAGGAGCAUGCAUGCACCGUUCAGACCUAGUAUGCUUGAUUUGACAUCAUUUUCUUUUUCACUUAAUACUGAUAACUUCAAAUGUUUUUACAUAAUUUUCCUGGUGGAUCAACCCAGAGUAAGAGAAUGUGAAUCAAAGUUUUACCACUGCAUCUUUCAUUGUAUGCCAAAAUGUAGUUCUGAGAGAUCGAGACAGAUCGACCACUCCUAAGUUUUAAUUAUAUUAUUGUUCAGCACAUGCAGAUGAUUGGAUGAUGAACCUUAUUCUACUGGAGCCCAUGUGAUAAGAGUCAAAGGUUGUUAGGCGUGCCAAUCAAUUACUGAUGGAAUAGAUUGCUCGGCAUGUAAUACUGUAAUUGACAGAACUGACCAGUUUGCUCACUACGACCUUAUUUCAGAAACUUACUUUACUGCUGUAGUAAGAAACAGUAUGCUUCUCUGCAUUUAUAAAUUCUACGGUCUUCCAGCUAUGAUUACAGCAGAAAAGAACCAAGAUAGUAACAAUGCACCAAAAUUUUCACAGAUCAAAUAUUUCUUCCAAGAUUCAUAAUGAAAUAUAUUCAGAAUUGGGACUUUGAGCAAGUACCUGGCUAUAGACUUUGUCAAUGGUGGAAGCAGAGGAGUUGAAGGUGAGGAGCAGGUAGUCGGUGCCCCACUUGAUGAGCUCCCUCACAUGGUCAUACUCCCCUACCGCCUUGUACUUGGCGCUGUACUCGAUCACUGACCAGCUGAGCAUUGUCAUGGAGAAGGCCAAGGGGAAAUGGAACUUGAUGUUGUCGCCGGCGUCGUAGUAGCCGCCGACGAGCCCGCCCUUGACGUCCGUCAGAUCGGAGCCAUCCGACAGGCCGGAGUUGCCGCGCCAUUUGAUGCCGUUGUUCUUCGGGAGCCGGCCGGCUGUCAGAGCAGAGAACGAGACAUGGCCAAAAUUGUUCGUCAGAGAAAGAAGGGCUGCAUUCAUCAGUGCACGUUUCAAACUGAAUUUUGAGCAUGGAAGUCAGAAUCGGAUGACUAGUAGUACUGUAGUGUAAGCUCAAGAUCUACAAGUGCAGAGUAUCUGUCAAGAUCCAGAAGCAGAUCAUGCGGCGAGAUCUACAGGUACACUAGUAUUGCAGAGGAGUACUUCGUGCCGCGUUAAAGAAUGGAUCAAUUGGCUGUCCUACAUGUGCACGAACGUGCGUGAGACGCCAAAUUGCCAAGACUCCAAGCCAAAGCGCAGCUGGAUUUUUGGGAGAUUUCUCUCCACAUCAGAGUGUCACUUUCUUCAAAGCUGUGGGACUAUGAACAGUAGCACAGAACAUUCCAUUUGUGGGGUUGCAGUUGUGCACAGCUCAACUGAACUGAUUAAAACUAACUAGUGCUACUACUCGCCUGUAGAUUUGUACUUGCUCGAUCCUCUCUCCUCGGGAUCAACACAUAAUCAUGCAGCUAAUAUCACGGGUCAAAAGUUCAAAACUCAGUAAACCUAAGGAAAUUCAAGGCAACAUACUUCUACUCAUUUUGAGCAAAUCCGUCUGCAGAUUCAGAAGCUCUAACACAAAUGGCAAAUGCGAUGAGAUCUCUACUGAUCAAAGUCAAAAGAUUCUUGUUUUGGCAAAGGUUUCCAUCCUAGUUAGUUAAUUAACUAACGCACAAACAGAGGAUCAUAUCACAGGAUGGAGGGGGGACUGACAUUUCUGGGCGUUGAAGAAGAGGAGGGCCUUGUGGAGGGCGUCGGUGUACUGGUCGGGGGGAGGGGCGUGGGGCUUCUUCUUGGGGAUGGACUUGGCGAUGAUGACGGGGAGGCCGAUGAGGAUGAAGGCGGCGAGGAGGGUCCAGAGGACCCACCAGAGGAGCUUGCGCUUGACGACGACGCAGCCGAGGUCGACGUACUUGUCCUUCUUCUUGGCCUCCGGCGGGCCGAGCAGCCAGCUCUGCUGCGUCUCGUCCAGCUGGUGCUGCCGCGCCGACAGCGCGCCGCGGUCCAGGUCCAUGUUGCGGCUGUGGUCAUCCUCCGCCGCGCCGUCCGCGGCGAUCUCGAACGACCCGCCCCAGUGGUUCGCCGAGUACAUGGCUGUGGCUGCGGCUGCGGCGGUGGGCUUGGCUCGCCCCGCGGCUGCGGGUGGCUUAGCUGGUGGGUCGAUCGGUCGAUCAGCGCAUGAAACGCGGGUGCUAUUCUUGGGGCGGUGGUGGCGAGGUGCGGUGGCUUUGGGUGGGGGCGUUUUGAAGGGGGAGAGAGAGCGGGCGGUGGUUGACUUGGGUGGCGCACCCGGACUGGCGCGCGCGCGUGACACUGUGCCGUUGUGAGCGGGUGGCGCGGUAGCUCUAGUGAAAGUAUCCCUCCGUUUCAUAUAUAUUACUCUCACCAUUUUUAACGUACGACGCCGUUGAUUUUUCGACCAAUAUUUGACCAUUCGUUUUAUUCAAAAUUUUUGUGUAAAUAUGAAAAAAUUUAUGUCAUGAUCAAUGAACAUUUGAUGACGAAUCAAGUCACAAUAAAAUAAAUAAUAAUUAUAUAAAUUUUUUGAAUAAGACGAAUAGUCAAACGUUAAAUAAAAAGUCAAUGGCGUCAUACAUUAAAAUAUGGAGGUAGUAUAAUUUUUGUUUCUUAAUCAAACUAUUUUAACUUUAAUUAGGUUUAGAGAAAAAAAUUAGCAGCAUAUAUAACAUCAAAUUAUUUUCAUCAAAUUCAACAUUAAAUAUACUUUGAUGAAAUAUUGGUUUUGUGUUAAAAAAAUUACUAUAUUUUUCUACAUAUUUAAUCAAACAUAAAAAAUGAUUAGAAAAAAAAUUUAAAAUGACUAAUAAUAUGAGACGGAGGGAGUAACACUUUUUUUGGAUGUGGAAAUGUUUUUGCAAAUAGUUAGAUGAACAGAUCAAACCAAAGUAAAUGCAAGUUUUCAAAUGUAAGUUACUUUGACUUUUUUCUUAGUCAAACCUUUCAAAGAAAUUUGAUCAGGUUUAUUGAAAAGAUUAGCAAUAUCUACAACACAAAUUUAGUUUCAUCAUACGUAACAUUGAAUAUUUUUGUCAUAUUAUGUUUGUUUUGUGUUAAAAAUAUCGUUAGAUUUUUCUAUAAAUUUGAUUGAAUUUUAAAAAAUUAACUAGAAAAAAAAUCAAACCGAUCUAUAAUUGGAACGGGGAUAUGGCUGUGUUUAGUUCCUUCCAAAGUUGGAAGUUUGGAUUGAAAUUGAUAUGAUAUGAUUGAAAAGUUGUGUGUGUAUGGCAGGUUGAUGUGAUGAAAAAAGUUAGAAGUUUGGAUCUAAGGGCCUGUUUGGCACAGCUCCAGCUUGGAGGUGGAGGUCAGACAAACAGUUUCAGCUCCACCAAAACUGUGAGUGGAGUUAAGUGGAGCUCUCUCACAAAAUGUACUAGAGUUGUGGAGCUGGGUUUAGGCAGCCCCACAACUCCACUCUAGACUCAACUCCUAGAGCAAUAUUUAGGAGUUAGAGCUGUACCAAACAGGCCCUAAACACAGCCUAUAUCUGAAAGACUGCAUGUUUAUACUCGGUUCGCCUGCUUCCUUUGUGACGCUAUGCCAUCAAUUCGAGCCGCCUUUUUUUAAACUGAUUUUCGUUGGAGGUGCCAUUGGGAUCUGUCCAGUACAGACUGACUGAUGACUUCUGGAUUGCGACGUUAACGGGGGAGUUCAGGCCAGCUAGAUGCAGGGCUACAGCGAUGGUUUAACUCCAUCAGAAGAAGAAAAAAAAAGUAAAGGAAAAAACCAUUGUUUUCCAUGUGUGUUUGGUGAAGCAUUUUCUGCUCCAUGCAGCAUGAGAGUAGUGGUGGUGGUGGGGUACACUAUUUUGGUUAUCCAUGGUGAUGCUGCACAGGAACAAAAGAACAAUCCCCAUUUUGCUGUCAGGAUGCAGAGCCGGCUAGGAAGCUCCUCGCCAGUAGCGAUCACUUUUCCCCCUCGCAAUAUUCUACUCGCACUAGCGUUUGUCAUUCGUGCUGGCGUGUGACAUGUGGAUUUCAGAACAAUCUGUUCUGUCUGUCUGCUCGACCCGUCUGAUUGUUAAUCGCUUACAGUAUCACCUCUCCACAGCUGGUGAAACCUAACUGUUCUUGUGUCGAUCUUAAUUUUCUUAUGCUGGCCGUUCUACUAAUUUUUUACUCCUGUAUCUGUAAAUAUGGCAUCGUCAGGACUUGGGUUUGAUUCAGUUGAGCAAUCAAAAUCAGCAAGAAAAGGGCUCGUUGUCUGUCUAUGCUGCGCACCUGCAUUUUCAGUCUGAACUCUGAACAUGAAAAUUCCAGUAAGAAAGCCUCUUGCCUCUCAUGGCAGGGUUAAGUUUACAGCAAUUUGCAAGCUCAACAACCAUCCGGCUAUGUGUGUCGGUCGAUCGGUGGAGUCAAAGACGGGAGGAAACACAUGGAGUGCGAGUUUUGCGUUGGUUUCUUCCUACUCCCCUGGAUUUUUUAUUCACAUGGUGUUAGCAUGUUCAAGCCUGGCAAGAGGUUGGCACCAAUUAUAUACGGAUCGUUGAAACCUUUUAUGAUUAAGUAGACUAGAUGUGCGUAUCCUCCUUGAUCAUUUCGUGUUGUAAUUGGCCAGCCAUCCUUCUGUCACCAAAGCGAUGGCUCAGAGUUGUACAGUGACCUUUCACCGGAAACAAUUGUGCAACUACGUCCUAAAACUGAGAGAUUUUCUCUGAGUUAGUACAUUUUUGUACUUAAUUUAAAGUGUCGGGAGAAUAUGGUCACAUCUUAAAGAGAACAGUGUGUGUUAUGAGAUGACAGGAGGCUGCUCCGGA
Molecule: long non-coding RNA, 11851 nt
Filed under: Oryza sativa (Asian cultivated rice)
Lineage: Eukaryota; Viridiplantae; Streptophyta; Magnoliopsida; Poales; Poaceae
Description: long non-coding RNA (OSAT_LNC000808)
Source: RNAcentral